AGUGAACGCUGGCGGUAGGCCUAACACAUGCAAGUCGAACGGCAGCACAGUAAGAGCUUGCUCUUACGGGUGGCGAGUGGCGGACGGGUGAGGAAUACAUCGGAAUCUACUUUUUCGUGGGGGAUAACGUAGGGAAACUUACGCUAAUACCGCAUACGACCUACGGGUGGAAGCAGGGGAUCUUCGGACCUUGCGCGAUUGAAUGAGCCGAUGUCGGAUUAGCUAGUUGGCGGGGUAAAGGCCCACCAAGGCGACGAUCCGUAGCUGGUCUGAGAGGAUGAUAAGCCAAAAUGGAACUGAGACACGGUCCAGACUCCUAAGGGAGGCAGAAGUGGGGAAUAUUGGACAAUGGGCGCAAGCCUGAUCCAGCCAUACCGCGUGGGUGAAGAAGGCCUUCGGGUUGUAAAGCCCUUUUGUUGGGAAAGAAAAGCAGCAGGUUAAUACCCCGCUGUUCUGACGGUACCAAAAGAAUAAGCACCGGCUAACUUCGUG
This 492-nucleotide ribosomal RNA is filed under the name uncultured bacterium. RNAcentral's name for it is "partial 16S ribosomal RNA". It matches the Rfam family "Bacterial small subunit ribosomal RNA", at positions 29 to 507 of the family's 1533-position model. The record is from RNAcentral.